CGAAGGGGCGUAGCGUUGCUCGGAAUCACUGGGCGUAAAGGGCGCGUAGGCGGACUCUUAAGUCGGGGGUGAAAGCCCAGGGCUCAACCCUGGAAUUGCCUUCGAUACUGAGAGUCUUGAGUUCGGAAGAGGUUGGUGGAACUGCGAGUGUAGAGGUGAAAUUCGUAGAUAUUCGCAAGAACACCAGUGGCGAAGGCGGCCAACUGGUCCGAUACUGACGCUGAGGCGCGAAAGCGUGGGGAGCAAACAGGAUU
RNAcentral lists this ribosomal RNA (254 nucleotides) under uncultured bacterium. Its description in RNAcentral is "partial 16S ribosomal RNA". It matches the Rfam family "Bacterial small subunit ribosomal RNA", at positions 526 to 779 of the family's 1533-position model. The record is from RNAcentral.